CCUACGGGAGGCAGCAGUGAGGAAUAUUGGUCAAUGGGCGAGAGCCUGAACCAGCCAAGUAGCGUGAAGGAUGACUGCCCUACGGGUUGUAAACUUCUUUUGUAAAGGAAUAAAGUGAGGCACGUGUACCUUUUUGAAUGUACUUUAUGAAUAAGCAUCGGCUAACUCCGUGCCAGCAGCCGCGGUAAUACGGAGGAUCCGAGCGUUAUCCGGAUUUAUUGGGUUUAAAGGGAGCGUAGAUGGGUUGUUAAGUCAGUUGUGAAAGUUUGCGGCUCAACCGUAAAAUUGCAAUUGAUACUGGCAGUCUUGAGUACAGUUGAGGUAGGCGGAAUUCGUGGUGUAGCGGUGAAAUGCUUAGAUAUCACGAAGAACUCCGAUUGCGAAGGCAGCUCACUAAACUGCCACUGACACUGAGGCUCGAAAGUGUGGGUAUCAAACAGGAUUAGAUACCCUGGUAGUC
Molecule: ribosomal RNA, 460 nt
Filed under: uncultured bacterium
Lineage: Bacteria
Description: partial 16S ribosomal RNA
Rfam family: Bacterial small subunit ribosomal RNA
Source: RNAcentral